This 497-nucleotide ribosomal RNA is filed under the name uncultured bacterium. RNAcentral describes it as "partial 16S ribosomal RNA". It matches the Rfam family "Bacterial small subunit ribosomal RNA", at positions 28 to 507 of the family's 1533-position model. The record is from RNAcentral.
GAUGAACGCUGGCGGCGUGCCUAAUACAUGCAAGUCGAGCGAACAGACGAGGAGCUUGCUCCUCUGUCGUUAGCGGCGGACGGGUGAGUAACACGUGGAUAACCUACCUACAAGACUGGGAUAACUUCGGGAAACCGGAGCUAAUACCGGAUAAUAUAUUGAACCGCAUGGUUCAAUAGUGAAAGACGGUUUUGCUGUCACUUAUAGAUGGAUCCGCGCCGCAUUAGCUAGUUGGUAAGGUAACGGCUUACCAAGGCAACGAUGCGUAGCCGACCUGAGAGGGUGAUCGGCCACACUGGAACUGAGACACGGUCCAGACUCCUACGGGAGGCAGCAGUAGGGAAUCUUCCGCAAUGGGCGAAAGCCUGACGGAGCAACGCCGCGUGAGUGAUGAAGGUCUUCGGAUCGUAAAACUCUGUUAUUAGGGAAGAACAAAUGUGUAAGUAACUAUGCACGUCUUGACGGUACCUAAUCAGAAAGCCACGGCUAACUACGUG